Molecule: ribosomal RNA, 434 nt
Filed under: Pristotis obtusirostris (gulf damselfish)
Lineage: Eukaryota; Metazoa; Chordata; Actinopteri; Pomacentridae
Description: partial 12S ribosomal RNA
Rfam family: Bacterial small subunit ribosomal RNA
Source: RNAcentral
ACUGGGAUUAGAUACCCCACUAUGCUCAGCCGUAAAAUUUGAUAGGUCACCACGCCCCCUAUCCGCCAGGGUACUACGAGCGCCAGCUUAAAACCCAAAGGACUUGGCGGUGCCUUACGUCCAUCUAGAGGAGCCUGUUCUGUAACCGAUAAUCCUCGUUCAACCUCACCCCCCCUUGCAAAAUCAGCCUAUAUACCGCCGUCGUCAGCUCACCCUGUGAAGGAUCAAAAGUGAGCAAAAUUGGUAUGACCCAGAACGUCAGGUCGAGGUGUAGCUCACGGGAGGGGAAGUAAUGGGCUACACUUCCUAAAACAGGAGACACGAACAAUGAACUGAAACAAACAUUUGAAGGUGGAUUUAGCAGUAAGUAGAAACCAUCAUGUUCUGCUGAAAUUCUAUGGCACUUAGGCACGUACACACCGCCCGUCACCCUC